CAGGUAAGAUGUAUGUGAUGAAGUUGAAAUGGCGGGGAAGCUAUUACAAUCUGAUUGGUAAGUGGGGCAGAGUUGUACGAGGGAAAGGACUUGAUGUAGGGCAAGAGAUUAAAAUACGUUGGGAAAAUGGAUGCUUCUACUUCUCGGUCCCAAAGCAGCAGAUUGUUGCAGUCCCACCAAUUCGGAUGGUUGCAGCACCGGUAGUGCAAGACCAUUGGCCCAUUAAGAAGAUCUUGACGCUCUCUGAUGUGGACACCAAUCAUCCAUUUCUCCCUCUGCCCCGUCGAUUAGUUGAGGAUCAUAUCCUUGUGCAUUGGACACCUCAGCAACAAGAACUGCUGAGGAAGGAGGAGCAUGUGAAUGUAAAUGCCCGAGAUUAUGAUACUGGCGAAGG
RNAcentral lists this unclassified non-coding RNA (394 nucleotides) under Hevea brasiliensis (rubber tree). Lineage: Eukaryota; Viridiplantae; Streptophyta; Magnoliopsida; Malpighiales; Euphorbiaceae. The record is from RNAcentral.